RNAcentral lists this ribosomal RNA (331 nucleotides) under uncultured bacterium. RNAcentral describes it as "bacterial SSU rRNA". It matches the Rfam family "Bacterial small subunit ribosomal RNA", at positions 568 to 898 of the family's 1533-position model. The record is from RNAcentral.
UGCGUAGACGGUUAUGUAAGUCGGGUGUGAAAGCCCUGGGCUCAACCUGGGAAUUGCAUUCGAAACUGCAUAGCUAGGGUGCGGAAGAGGGAAGCGGAACUUCCGGUGUAGCGGUGAAAUGCGUAGAUAUCGGAAAGAACACCAGUGGCGAAAGCGGCUUCCUGGUCCAGCACCGACGUUCAGGCACGAAAGCGUGGGGAGCAAACAGGAUUAGAUACCCUGGUAGUCCACGCCAUAAACGAUGAGAACUAGACGUUGAGAGGGUAAGCCUCACAGUGUCGUAGCUAACGCGCUAAGUUCUCCGCCUGGGGAGUACGGCCGCAAGGUUGGA